This 482-nucleotide ribosomal RNA is filed under the name uncultured bacterium. Its description in RNAcentral is "partial 16S ribosomal RNA". It matches the Rfam family "Bacterial small subunit ribosomal RNA", at positions 28 to 523 of the family's 1533-position model. The record is from RNAcentral.
AGUGAACGUUGGCGGCGUGGAUUAGGCAUGCAAGUCGAGCGAGAACCGUAGCAAUACGGGGACAGCGGCGAAAGGGACAGUAAUGUGUAGGUACCUACCCCGAGGUCUGGGAUAGCUGCGGGAAACUGCAGGUAAUACCGGACAAUGUCUUCGGACCAAAGGUGUGAUUCCACCUUGGGAGGGGCCUGCAUCCUAUUAGCUUGUUGGCGGGGUAACGGCCCACCAAGGCGACGAUGGGUAGCGGGUGUGAGAGCACGACCCGCGUCAUUGGGACUGAGACACUGCCCAGACACCUACGGGUGGCUGCAGUCGAGGAUCUUCGGCAAUGGGCGCAAGCCUGACCGAGCGACGCCGCGUGCGGGAUGAAGGCCUUCGGGUUGUAAACCGCUGUCGUAGAGGAGGAAAUGCAGGGGGGUUCUCCCCUCUGUUUGACCUAUUCUAGGAGGAAGUACGGGCUAAGUUCGUGCCAGCAGCCGCCGUAA